CUCGCCCGGGCCUGGAGCCGCGCUCCGGGACCCUGGCCCAGCGCCGUCGGAGACCACUAAGGCCCCUACUUCGAGGACCCCGAGCCCCCAGACGCCCAUCGUUAACCCGAGGCUCCAAGUCCCCACGUCUGACCCCUGACCCUCGCCCCGGAAGUCGGGGUGAUCGCAAGUUCCGGCUCAGUCGCUAGGAAACCAGCAAUCCCGACGCGAGGGGCGGGGCUUCUGACCUCCCGGGCGAGUGGGGGGAGGCAGGUGAGACAGGUCACUCCAACCCCGCCGACACUCAGCAGCACGGUGCCGUCACGGCGGAGCACAGGUCAAGCUGCGCAAGAGCUCAAUACCCAGGGCAGGUGGACCAGGAGGCUGGCUGGGACACUGAGUGCACGGGGACCAUCCUCCAGGCC
Tupaia belangeri chinensis (Chinese tree shrew) is the source of this 404-nucleotide long non-coding RNA. RefSeq lists it as uncharacterized. The record is from RefSeq and is a predicted model, not a curated record. The transcript is spliced from 3 exons. NCBI's taxonomy places the organism in Eukaryota, Metazoa, Chordata, Mammalia, Scandentia, Tupaiidae.